AGACCUCAGCACACAAAGAGGCCAGACACCGCAUUCCAUUUAAGAACACUUUAUUUGGCUCACUUUCAAAUCGUUCUUCUCAAAACAGCAGAAGCGAACAAAACGAUCAAAGCAGAUCGCCGACUUAAAACACAGCGAAGAAAACUUCUGGUAGAUAAAAAAUCAACUUCUUGCGGUCAUCUUUCCAGUAACAGCAAUAUUAUAUUACAUUAUAUAUAUACAUUACGUGAUACAUAUGUAUAUAGAGAGAGAGUACAUGUUAUAUAAUAUAUAUUACAUUAUAUAUUUAAUAUAUAUCUUAUCUUACAUCAUAUAUAUAAUAUAUAUCUUAGAUAUAGAGGAUAUCACAUAAUAUUACAGUAACAGUAAUAUUUUCUGUUUGUGCUGAUCAUUCCAUUGAUCGUUUCAACUGUCAGUCCUCGAGGAAGGCAAAACAGGCUCCAUUUCUACAUGGUCGGAGUCUUCCACAUCAGCCGAACUGGUUUCUCUUAAAUCAAGUUUCACAUAGCUUUCUGAAGUCGUGUCGAUCGUUUCUUAAACCAACUUUCACAUCUGUUUCUUAAAUCAAGCUUCACAGAGUUUUCUGAAGUCCUGUCGAUCGUUUCCUAAAUCAGGUUUCACUUCUGUUUCUUAAAUCAAGUUUCACUUCUGUUUCUUAAAUCAAGUUUCACAUCUUUUUCUGAAGUCCUGUCGAUCGUUUCCUAAAUCAGGUUUCACUUCUGUUUCUUAAAUCAAGUUUCACUUCUGUUUCUUAAAUCAAGUUUCACAUCUCUUUCUGAAGUCGUGUCGAUCGUUUCUUAAACCAACUUUCACAUCUGUUUCUUAAAUCAAGCUUCACAGAGUUUUCUGAAGUCCUGUCGAUCGUUUCCUAAAUCAGGUUUCACUUCUGUUUCUUAAAUCAAGUUUCACUUCUGUUUCUUAAAUCAAGUUUCACAUCUGUUUCUGAAACCAAGUUUCACAUUGUUUGCUUACACCAUGUAUGCAGGAAUUGGGUCCCGAGGCUGCUGCUUC
Molecule: long non-coding RNA, 1011 nt
Filed under: Equus caballus (horse)
Lineage: Eukaryota; Metazoa; Chordata; Mammalia; Perissodactyla; Equidae
Description: lncRNA (ENSECAG00000049089.1)
Source: RNAcentral